This 1071-nucleotide long non-coding RNA is filed under the name Oreochromis niloticus (Nile tilapia). RNAcentral describes it as "lncRNA (ENSONIG00000038441.1)". Lineage: Eukaryota; Metazoa; Chordata; Actinopteri; Cichliformes; Cichlidae. The record is from RNAcentral.
AUGCUUAACCAGAAAGACUAUCAUGAGAAGAUUUUGUCACUGCUCAGUGAUGAAAAUACUUAUGAGCCCGUCAAACGAGACCCAGGAAGUGGCUACAGGAAGAGGGUCAUAGACUGUCUGAAGCAGUUAGAACAAGACAAGGCUAUCGACCGGACCUCAUACCACAGGCUGUACCCAGGGGAGUCUACACCACGUCUGUAUGGUUUACCGAAAAUACAUAAACAGGGUGCACCUUUAAGACCAAUUGUCUGCAUGAUCAACACGGUCACCUAUAACAUCUCCAAGUUUCUGGCUUCGAUCCUCAACCCGCUGGUGGGCAGCUCUGAACACCACAUCCAGAACACCCUGGAUUUUGUUGAGAAGGUGAGAGAUGUCAUUAUGGAGGCAGAUGAAACCAUGGUCUCGUACGACGUUACAUCUCUCAUCACUUGCAUCCCAGUCACGGAAGCGUUGGAGGUAGUUCGUAAGAGAUUACAGGAUGACACCAACCUCAGCAGCAGGACCACUCUCAGCAUCGACCAAGUGUGUUUGCUUUUGGAACUGUGUCUUCAUUCCACCUACUUCACAUACAAGGGUCAGUUCUACAGGCAGAAACAUGGGUGUGCCAUGGGCUCCCCAGUUUCACCCAUCGUGGCCAAUUUGUACAUGGAAGAAGUGGAAAAGCGGGCUUUGCUAUCCUACCCUGGAUCACCACCAAACCACUGGUUCACAUAUGUGGAUGACAGGUGGGUGAAAAUCAAAUCUCAAGACGUACUACAUUUCACGGAUCACAUUAACUCGGUGGACCAACACAUCAAAUUCACCAGGGAGGGUAUGAAAAGUGGCAGGUUAGCCUUCUUAGACUGUGAGAUUUCCAUCAGUAAUGGGGGACAUCUAAAAGCUGACAUGUACCGGAAACCUACGCAUAUAGAUCAGCAUCUAAGAUUUUUCUCGUUUGGCUCUCAGCGAAGGCGGUCGCACUUUUCUCCUCUCUUCCUACCCUUAUCUUCCCUGCUUAGCCGCUUAUGUCCUUGUCUGGUCUUGUGCUUUCUUCUUACUCCCCUGGAACACUCUCUCACAGUCUGUGUCUAA